RNAcentral lists this ribosomal RNA (716 nucleotides) under uncultured organism. Its description in RNAcentral is "bacterial SSU rRNA". It matches the Rfam family "Archaeal small subunit ribosomal RNA", at positions 477 to 1190 of the family's 1478-position model. The record is from RNAcentral.
CAGCACCUCAAGUGGUCAGGAUGAUUAUUGGGCCUAAAGCAUCCGUAGCCGGCUUUGUAAGUUUUCGGUUAAAUCCAUGUGCUCAACGCAUGGGCUGCCGAAAAUACUGCAUGGCUAGGGAGUGGGAGAGGUAGACGGUACUCAGUAGGAAGGGGUAAAAUCCUUUGAUCUAUUGAUGACCACCUGUGGCGAAGGCGGUCUACCAGAACACGUUCGACGGUGAGGGAUGAAAGCUGGGGGAGCAAACCGGAUUAGAUACCCGGGUAGUCCCAGCUGUAAACGAUGCAGACUCGAUGAUGCAUUGGCAUAAUAGCCAGUGCAGUGUCGCAGGGAAGCCGUUAAGUCUGCCGCCUGGGAAGUACGUACGCAAGUAUGAAACUUAAAGGAAUUGGCGGGGGAGCACCACAAGGGGUGAAGCCUGCGGUUCAAUUGGAGUCAACGCCAGAAAUCUUACCCGGAGAGACAGCAGAAUGAAGGUCAAGCUGAAGACUUUACCAGACAAGCUGAGAGGUGGUGCAUGGCCGUCGCCAGCUCGUGCCGUGAGAUGUCCUGUUAAGUCAGGUAACGAGCGAGAUCCCUGCCACUAGUUGCUAUCAUUAUUCUCAGGAAUAGUGGGGCGAAUUAGUGGGACUGCCGUUGUUAAAACGGAAGAAGGAAGGGGCUACGGCAGGUCAGUAUGCCCCGAAACUCUGGGGCCACACGCGGGCUGCAAUGGU